Patella vulgata (common limpet) is the source of this 6928-nucleotide RNA transcript. It is a transcript of the gene named PH and SEC7 domain-containing protein, with no coding region annotated. The record is from RefSeq and is a predicted model, not a curated record. The transcript is spliced from 12 exons. NCBI's taxonomy places the organism in Eukaryota, Metazoa, Mollusca, Gastropoda, Patellidae.
GUAUCACGUGGCCACCUGCGAGAAAUUACGCGACGACAGCAUGGCGGAAGUCGGCAGAUGUCAGAAAAAUAAAAUAAAUAUAUUGUGUACUGCCUUAAUCUGAAAUAUGUGUAAAUUCAAGGGGAUUCUAUUCUCUUGUUAAGAUACAUGUACUUAAUGUGUAGCCAUGUGAUCAACUGUAAUAUUAUUAGUGGAACCGAUAGUCAUGGCCAGUCGAACAACAGCAAGUCCAUCUAGAAUACCAGUAUCUACAAGAAGUCCACCCAGAACUAUAAAUGGCAAAUUGACAGUAAAAGAAGCUAGACAAGCCUGUACACCAAGCUCAAGUCGUAAUGAUAGUUAUAAUCAAGCCUGUCAAAAUGGUUCCUUGAAUGAAUCGACAAGUAGUACAGGUUCAACAAAUAGUCAAAAAGGAAAAGGUUUUGAGACUUUUCUUAUGACGGGUGAUAUGAUCAUAAGGACCACGCCACCUCACCAAAAAACUCGACAGUCUGACGAUAAAUCGCCAUCCCCUUCUAUUGCUAGCUCCCAAUCAAGUCCUGAAAAAUUCAUAUAUCAUUCAGACGAGAAAGAAAAUAUAAACAAAAUGAACAGUGAAAAACACAAAAGCCCACAGAAAAUACCUGUUCAUAAAUCUUCUAAUAUUAAGCCUGAUCUUCCAAGAGCACCUGUCGCACGCCUUGAUGAAAUGACUGAAUUUUCUAUAUCACCUACAGAUUGUGACAUUCCUGACGUCACAGAAUUAGAAAACAAUAAAAACCUCAGUGAAAACAAACAAAUAUGUUUAGAUAUGUUGAUGACAGGAAAAAAUGCUAAUUUAGAUGGACUGAUUGCUUUAAAUGGAAAUCAUAAUUCUGAAACAACAGAUACUGAUAUUCCAAGCUCUGGUGAUAGUGGUGUUUUACCAGAUAGUCACAGUUCAGACUCUGAUUGUGGUGGAAAACUUACUCCAAAUACAGACCAAAACCCUGUGCCAAAUGCAGAUUCGAAACCAGCAAUGGUUACUAGUAAAAGUGCUGAAAAGAUCUCACCGAGUGCUACGAAAACUGACAUUGGACUUGUCCGUACAAGUAAGAGUCAUGAAAACUAUCUGGAAACUGGUACAGGUUUUCAGAUAGUUAGUAUAGAUAUUGAUGAUGACAAUAUGGCUUAUUCUUUAGAUACACUUACUUGUCAUGAAAGUUCAACCAAUUCAUUAGAAAAGGUUAGUGAUCAAACCCAGGUGUCCAAAAGUUGUCAUAGUUCGCCUGAACGCAAACAAGAUAAAAAGAAUGAGCGUGUAUUUAUGCCGGCUUUUAUAAACAUUGAUGAUCCGAAAUCUCAAAAAAAUAAAGGAAAAGAAAAAGAUGGAAGAGAACAAUUAACAGAGGAAUCUGUUUCAGUGUCUUUUAAUAAUUCUAAUAAACAAAGUGAUAAUUCUGUGUCACCUUCCAUUAAUACAGCGCAACAGGACAUGAAUUCUUCUUGUAGAGAAGGUGUUCUUGAUUUAUCUGCACUGUCUGAGGCUGAUAGUAUUUAUCAUCAACCAAUGAAAUCUGUAGAUCGCCCUUCUGCAGCAAGGUUGGCUAAGCGUUUGUAUGCUCUUGAUGGCUUUAGAAAAUCAGAUGUUUCAAGGCACCUAUUCAAAAAGAAUGAGUUCAGUAAUUUAGUUGCAGAAGAAUACUUGAAAUAUUUUCAAUUUACUGGUGAUUCCCUUGAUGUAUCAUUAAGGAAAUUCCUUAAACAAUUUUGCUUAACAGGGGAAACCCAAGAAAGAGAAAGAGUUUUGGCUCAUUUUUCUCAUCGUUAUAUGGAAUGCAACCCUGGAACAUUUAAUUCAGAAGAUGCUUGCCAUACUUUGACUUGUGCAAUAAUGCUUCUAAAUACAGAUCUUCAUGGUCAGAGUGUUGGAAGAAAGAUGACUUGCUCAGAAUUUAUAGAAAAUUUAGGAGAACUAAAUGAUGGUGAUAACUUUCCAAAAGAUAUUCUUAAAACUAUAUUUCACUCUAUUAAAUCUGAGCCAUUAGAAUGGGCCAUUGAUGAGGAUGCCCCGGUUGAAGUUCAAAAUGAAAGCCCUGGACCAUCAGCCUCCGUCCCACAACAUUUUAUUGGUCAAAAUCCAUUCUUAGAUGUGCCUGAUCCUAGUAAAACUAUAGAGUAUAAGAAAGGAUAUGUCAUGAGAAAAUGUUGUAUGGAUGCUGAUAGAAGAAGAACUGCCCUUGGUAAAAGAAGUUGGAAGAUGUUUUAUGCUGUAUUAAGAGAUAUGAUACUAUAUUUAUAUAAAGAUGAACAUCAGUAUAAAAAGGGUGGUUUAUUAGAGAGUGCUAGCAAUGCUAUUCGUGUACAUCAUAGUUUAGUUACUAAAGCCUCAGAUUACACUAAAAAACAGCAUGUUUUUAGACUUCAAACUGCAGAAUGGGCAGAAUUUCUCUUCCAAACCAGUAACAGUAAAGAGCUUCAAGAAUGGAUAGACACGCUCAAUUUUGUAGCUGCAACGUUCUCUGCACAGCCACUACCAGGAGCUCUGGGAUCCAAAAGCACCUUUCAACGUCCUCUGUUACCAGUUUCAUAUACAAGAAAGACAUUGAGGGAACAAUUUCAUAGUCAUGAAGAACAGGUUAAGUCUUUAGAACAAGAAAUACACGAACAUCAUGCUGCAGCCCCAGAAAAAGGCGCAAAGUCUCGCCAUAUACAGGACUACCUCGAAAAGGAGACAUAUUUAGAUUUUGAGCUGAAACGCUACAAAACUUAUGUUUACUUACUCCAGAGUAAAAUAACAGCAUUCCCAGAUGUCGAACCAUCUCUUGUUGAGACCACCAUUGGGGAAGAUGAAGAAGUUGGGGCUGGAGGCAGUCAGUUUAAUUGCCCUAAUAAGCCUGUACAGCGAAGUCUUUCUGAUAGGUACAGUUAUCGAGCAGCUAUAUAUCAAACUGAUCGUGUAGAUUAUGAUAUGGUUUAAUAUACAGCAACACAAAUUCUAUUAUAAAUUGCUUAUUAAUUUCAUUAUUCAUUUUACCCAUCUUGAGUUGUGCAUGGGUUGUGGCAUUCUGUAUAGUUGCUUCUUUGUUGGAGAUCUUUAUUUGGGGAGGUAGUAUUGUACAUGUAGAAUCAAUCCAAUUUAUACCAUCAAACGUUUCCUUCAUUGUGUGAUAUAAGGUGUUUGUUUUUAAUUUAUACUAAGAACUAUUGACCAUAGUGUUCCUAUCCAUUACAUAUAGCAUAAUACUAUGUAAUAUAUAGUUUUCUUGUAUAUUUAUUUUGGAAGUCGUUAUUCAAUAAUUUAUUAACUGUCAAUGUUAAUUGUGGAUGGUUGUUGCUAUCAGUGUGUAAUGGAGUAUGAUUUCUGUAGAAUGUUGUUCAUAUUGAUGGAAUUUAUUUUUCUGAAGGUAUUGUGCAUGUGUAUAUAGACGAUGUGUUUUGAAUACUGUAACCACUGCUUGCUUUCAAAGAUAAUCCUUCUAUUGUUAUUUAACGGUUGGUAUUGGUUCUUGUUUUCUGCUGUAGAUAUUAAAUGUUUCACAUCAAGAUGUUAUGUUGGAUUUCGUACACCUAAGUUAUUAGAAUCUACCACUUAAAACCGAUAAAACCAUUGAUUAUCUAGUCAUCUUAUUUGAAGGGAUUACUAGUUCCUACAUAUUUAUAGUGCUUGUGUACGAACAUAUAACAAUUACAUUAUCUUUCACUUUCAUUUUUUUAUACAUCUAUAUAUUUACAUAUAUACACAUAUUAUAUUCUUAUUUACUAUUAGCUUAAUAUUUACGCUUUUUCACAUACACGAAAAAAAAUUUGAUCUUCCAAUUUCCUGGUUUAGGAAGAUUAGUAUCUGCAUUUUUGUUGGUAUGUUAUUUAUGAAAUAAUUUAAACAUUUUAUCAUAGCAUAAUGGUCAUUACAAUCAUCUUUUGAAGUUAAAGCUGGUCUAAAAUAGUCUUGUGUGUGUUCUUUUAUAUUUAGAAGAUUUGCUAUAUAUGUUGAUUUUAGUUUCGUAACAUUUUUGCGUGAUGAAAACAAAGUCCAAUUCUUGCUCAAGAUAGAUAUUUUUCUUUUCUGUUUAUUCUUAUUGCUGACAGUAACAUAUUUGUUUCAAAGGACUAGGAAGUCUGGUUAAUUUUCCAGUAUUAUUUUCUGUUGCAAUUUUAUUUAUAAGUCAGUUGAAGAAAAACCUGGGUUAUUAAUGUAUUUGUAUCUUUACUGCCACAUGGAUAUAAUGUCUUGUAGUCUUGUUUAGUUUUAUUGUUUGUAAAUAUGUGAAAUGAAUACACUUAUCAGGAAAACUGAUAGAUGUCGACUAAAUGUUUAGAUUUUAAUCAAUUAAUACUCUAAAUGGCCUAUCAUUUGCUUCAGAUCUUUUUAAAACAAAUUUUGGCUGAGGUAAAAACUUGCUUUUAAAAUGGUUUUUGCUUUUCAUUAGAUAAUAUAAUUCUACACAGCAUAUAAAAUAUGAACUUGUUCAUGCAUGAUCACUUAAUUAGAUCUCAUCUUUCAUCAUUCAUAAUUUUAUAAUUUUACACUAAAAUAGUAGAAUCUAGUAUUGGGUCAAUGUAUUAAAAAUAUAAUAAGAUUUUUAUAAUUUAUUACUUGUUGAAGCAUUGGAUGUUAAUAAAUGAAUAGCUAUCAUUAAUUGUUAAUUAAGACAGAUAUAUUGUUAAUCAAUUAUGUGUUAAUUAUCACGUAUAUUUUUCACCAUCACAAACAUGUGUAUAUAUAAAAUCAUUCACUAUCGUAAAAUAAACUUUCAUGGAAGUUUUCACUGGCAAAGAUACUGUCAAGUAUUACCAUUAGAAUUACCAAUGUGUGCAUAAUAAUGUUUCUUUGUUGUUGGUAUUUAGUUUUAGUUUGUUAAUAGUAUAGUAUGAUGCUAUGUUUGUAGGCUUACCACUAUCAUUAUUUUCCACUUUCUUAUAGUAUAGGCGCCAUAACCAAGUAUAUAUAGCUUGAUCAUAUGUUUUUUAUGUUAAUCGGCAUAUCUGUAGUUCUGUGAUGAUGUCGUCAAGUUCGCCAUUAAAUGUAUAAAAACUAUUAUCAUAUCAUUGUUUCUUACAUACUACCAUUACUUGUACAUUUUAUAACUUAAACGUGACACUGUCUGGAACAGCAUAUGAACACUUACAAUAUGAUUAUCUGUAGGCUUCUGUUGUAUCUGCCUGGAAGGUAUGUUCAUGUUUUGUGCUAUUUUCACACUCUAAAGUUGAAUUUUAGUAUGACGAUAUGUGGAUAGAUAUAUCAAGUUUAUUUUUGUUUACAACUAAUCAGGAUUCAGAUAUUUUGAGCAAUCUGUGUUCUAUUUAUUAUUGCUUCAAUCAGGCGUUAUAAUCAGCAGUUUUAUGCUGUAGUGGGCAUUUUAAAUGGAUAUCAAAUUGGAUAUUGACAACGUUUAGCGGUUAAGAAUUUAAAAAGUUAAAUAUUUUUGGUAGUUUAAUUCAUGUAAAUAAUUUAAACUGCCAAGGCUGAUGGAUUUAUGUUAGACCUUGAUGCACAAAAUAUUAUAAUUUUGAACAUUGUGUUACUUAACUGUUAUGUUAGAAGUUUUUAUUGUACAAUGUAAAGUAAGGUAGGAAAGAGAUUAAAAUAUACUUCAAUCAUUAAACUGUCUUUUGUUGUCUUUUACAAUUUAACUUAUUAACCGGUAAAUGUAUGAUCGGCACAAUUUAUAUUUUGGAGGAAAGGCUUAGUUUCGUUUUGUGCAUAUUGUAUGGUUGAGGUUUUAUCAGUAGGUGCCAGGUAUUAUUUUCACAAAGCUGCUCGGCUUCAUGUUUGUGUAGAAUGGACAACCCCUAAAACUAACUGUGAUACAAGGUGCUUGAUGUCAACAAACUAGUACAAAAGCUACAGACACUCGUAAUGAAGAUCAGCACAUACGGAAGGGAAGUAGAUGACAAAGAGCAAUAUAUCAACGAUGAAACCAUUGAUACUUACCUUUAAAUUAAUAUACAUAUCAACUGUUGUGUUGAAGAACAAGCUAAUGCUAACCAUUUUGUAAUUGUUGAGCAUUAAGAGGUAUUAAUCCAAAACCAAAUCAAAAGUUUUAAUUCAUUAUAAAGUAAUUUGUUAAUUAAAUGCUAUUGUUUUGUCCUACCGCAUAUAUUGUGUGUUCAUGUCAUCUUGAUAUGUUUAAUUAAGGUUGUGUAUGUUAUAAAUUUAAGGACCAAUGUUUUUUUAUUUUAUGUUCUUGUACUUUUAUUACCAGUUUAGAUGAACCUGUCUCUGGCCAAGAUACAUGUAUUUAUUAUGACUAACAGUGAACCCUUCUCCUUACAUUUUAAUUAUAUAUUUUUUAAUGGAGUUUAUCUUUGCAUUUCCAACUAAAUAUUCAUUUAAUGAAAUCUGGCAUUUCCAACUGUUCCAUUUAAUGAAUUCUAUCUUGGUAUUGCUGAAAAAUAUUCAUGUCUACAUUUGCAUUUCUAAAGAAAAUAUUCAUUUAAUGAAGUCUUAUCUUUGCAUUUCAAUAUUUUAACAAAAGAUUAUUUUGUUAACUUAAAUCAAAUCCUGUCUCUUGAUUUUGACAAGACACUUCUAGUUGUACCAGAUAAACAGUACUACUUUAGAUAAAACAAUUUAUUGAUUGCUUUUGGUUACUAGUAUAUUAUAUUGAUACUGUUUUGAAAUUUCUGUCAAUAUUUACUCUUCAGAAGUUAUUUUAUACUGUUCCAAGUACAGAUUGAAACAUGAAACACUAUUUUAAUCAAAUUGUCCAGUCUAACACUUUUCUGUAAACACAAGCUAAUGUCCAUUGAUGUUGGGCGAGAAUCCAGCUUAAUUCUAUAGGGCCAAAUCUCAUGUAAUACUUCUGAAGUCUCAAUUGUAUAAUUUUGUAUGAUGUUCUUGUAUUUUAUACUGGUUGAAUAUCAGAUGUAAUAAAGACAAAGCACACAAGUUUUAUUCAAAUAUAAUAGAAAUGUUAUCUGUGUUAUUGUAGAGUGACAUAUUUAAUUAAAGCAGUAUUGUAGAUUA